GAAGAAUUGCACUUUGAAAUGCAAGAUAAGAAUACUUGAGGUACUACCACAAGAAUAUUGAAGAACGCCUUGAGAAAGAAUUGAAUGCUUAAGAACCACCAUGAUGCACCUCUAGAAUAGAAGGAUGAUAGAAUAGAAUUGAGGCUUGAGAAAAUAGUAACAUUGAGGCCAUGCAAAGAUUUAGAUGAAGCUUUGCGAAGAGAUACUUGAGAAAACUUGGAGCUCUGAAAAAAGAAAUGAACAACA
Molecule: long non-coding RNA, 246 nt
Filed under: Hordeum vulgare
Lineage: Eukaryota; Viridiplantae; Streptophyta; Magnoliopsida; Poales; Poaceae
Description: long non-coding RNA (HVUL_LNC010166)
Source: RNAcentral